Molecule: ribosomal RNA, 465 nt
Filed under: Vreelandella stevensii
Lineage: Bacteria; Pseudomonadati; Pseudomonadota; Gammaproteobacteria; Oceanospirillales; Halomonadaceae
Description: partial 16S ribosomal RNA
Rfam family: Bacterial small subunit ribosomal RNA
Source: RNAcentral
CCUACGGGUGGCUGCAGUGGGGAAUAUUGGACAAUGGGGGCAACCCUGAUCCAGCCAUGCCGCGUGUGUGAAGAAGGCCCUCGGGUUGUAAAGCACUUUCAGUGAGGAAGAACGCCUGGUGGUUAAUACCCAUCAGGAAAGACAUCACUCACAGAAGAAGCACCGGCUAACUCCGUGCCAGCAGCCGCGGUAAUACGGAGGGUGCGAGCGUUAAUCGGAAUUACUGGGCGUAAAGCGCGCGUAGGUGGCUUGAUAAGCCGGUUGUGAAAGCCCCGGGCUCAACCUGGGAACGGCAUCCGGAACUGUCAAGCUAGAGUGCAGGAGAGGAAGGUAGAAUUCCCGGUGUAGCGGUGAAAUGCGUAGAGAUCGGGAGGAAUACCAGUGGCGAAGGCGGCCUUCUGGACUGACACUGACCCUGAGGUGCGAAAGCGUGGGUAGCAAACAGGAUUAGAUACCCGAGUAGUC